This 243-nucleotide non-coding RNA is filed under the name Enterococcus sp. RNAcentral describes it as "T-box sequence". It matches the Rfam family "T-box leader". Rfam says of the family: Uncharged tRNA acts as the effector for transcription antitermination of genes in the T-box leader family. T-boxes are found upstream of many aminoacyl-tRNA synthetase genes and some amino acid biosynthetic genes usually in Gram-positive bacteria. The record is from RNAcentral. Lineage: Bacteria; Bacillati; Bacillota; Bacilli; Lactobacillales; Enterococcaceae.
AUACAAACAGUGAGAAGGAAUAGUAGAAAGAACCAUGUUUUAGAGAGCGUAUGGUUGGUGAAAAUACGUACAGAAGCUUUUGAACUCGCCUUUGAGUUAUUUUACUGAAUGAGUAAUAGAUGAUGAUUCGAUAAUUAUCCCUACUUUACUAAGUAAGAUCGGUGGUGGCCGUUACAGCACUGAGGCUUGUAAUUAUACAAGUAAAAUUAGGUGGUACCACGUUGUUGAUCACACGUCCUAUAG